This is a non-coding RNA of Cronartium quercuum f. sp. fusiforme G11, 89 nucleotides long. The record is from the annotation of a GenBank genome assembly. NCBI's taxonomy places the organism in Eukaryota, Fungi, Basidiomycota, Pucciniomycetes, Pucciniales, Coleosporiaceae.
GUGUCUAUAGCCUAGUGGUAAAAGGCAGAACUCUAGUAUGUGUCUUGGCUAUCAUGUUGAGGUUGUGGGUUUGAAUCCCACCAGAAACA